Molecule: ribosomal RNA, 331 nt
Filed under: uncultured eukaryote
Lineage: Eukaryota
Description: partial 18S ribosomal RNA
Rfam family: Eukaryotic small subunit ribosomal RNA
Source: RNAcentral
CCCUUAGAUGUUCUGGGCCGCACGCGCGCUACACUGUUCGACGCAGCGAGUCUUAACCUUGACCGAAAGGUUUGGGUAAUCUUCAGCAAAGUCGAACGUGAUGGGGAUCGAUCAUUGCAAUUAUUGAUCGUGAACGAGGAAUUCCUAGUAAGUGCAAGUCAUCAGCUUGCGCUGAUUACGUCCCUGCCCUUUGUACACACCGCCCGUCGCUACUACCGAUUGAAUGGUUUAGUGAGAUCUCUGGAUUGACGCUGGCUAGGGGGCGACCCUUGGCCAGACUGUUGAGAAACUGCUCAAACUUGAUCAUUUAGAGGAAGUAAAGGUCGUAACA